AUUGAACGCUGGCGGCAUGCCUUACACAUGCAAGUCGAACGGCAGCACGGGAGCUUGCUCCUGGUGGCGAGUGGCGAACGGGUGAGUAAUACAUCGGAACGUACCCUGAAGUGGGGGAUAACGUAGCGAAAGUUACGCUAAUACCGCAUAUUCUGUGAGCAGGAAGGAGGGGGAUCGCAAGACCUCUUGCUUUAGGAGCGGCCGAUGUCGGAUUAGCUAGUUGGUGAGGUAAAGGCUCACCAAGGCGACGAUCCGUAGCGGGUCUGAGAGGAUGAUCCGCCACACUGGGACUGAGACACGGCCCAGACUCCUACGGGAGGCAGCAGUGGGGAAUUUUGGACAAUGGGCGCAAGCCUGAUCCAGCCAUGCCGCGUGAGUGAAGAAGGCC
This 388-nucleotide ribosomal RNA is filed under the name uncultured bacterium. RNAcentral describes it as "bacterial SSU rRNA". It matches the Rfam family "Bacterial small subunit ribosomal RNA", at positions 30 to 416 of the family's 1533-position model. The record is from RNAcentral.